RNAcentral lists this ribosomal RNA (383 nucleotides) under uncultured cyanobacterium. RNAcentral's name for it is "bacterial SSU rRNA". It matches the Rfam family "Bacterial small subunit ribosomal RNA", at positions 376 to 774 of the family's 1533-position model. Lineage: Bacteria; Bacillati; Cyanobacteriota. The record is from RNAcentral.
CGAAAGCCUGACGGAGCAAUGCCGCGUGGAGGAUGAAGGCCUGUGGGUUGUAAUCUCCUUUUCUCAGAGAAGAAGUUCUGACGGUAUCUGAGGAAUAAGCAUCGGCUAACUCCGUGCCAGCAGCCGCGGUAAUACGGAGGAUGCAAGCGUUAUCCGGAAUCAUUGGGCGUAAAGCGUCUGUAGGUGGCUUGGUAAGUCGACUGUUAAAUCGUAGAGCUCAACUCUAUAUCGGCAGUCGAAACUACUUCGCUUGAGUGUGGUAGGGGCAGAGGGAAUUCCCGGUGUAGCGGUGAAAUGCGUAGAUAUCGGGAAGAACACCAACGGCGAAAGCACUCUGCUGGGCCAACACUGACACUGAGAGACGAAAGCUAGGGUAGCCAAUG